GCAGUCGAGCGGACAGAUGGGAGCUUGCUCCCUGAUGUUAGCGGCGGACGGGUGAGUAACACGUGGGUAACCUGCCUGUAAGACUGGGAUAACUCCGGGAAACCGGGGCUAAUACCGGAUGCUUGUUUGAACCGCAUGGUUCAAACAUAAAAGGUGGCUUCGGCUACCACUUACAGAUGGACCCGCGGCGCAUUAGCUAGUUGGUGAGGUAACGGCUCACCAAGGCAACGAUGCGUAGCCGACCUGAGAGGGUGAUCGGCCACACUGGGACUGAGACACGGCCCAGACUCCUACGGGAGGCAGCAGUAGGGAAUCUUCCGCAAUGGACGAAAGUCUGACGGAGCAACGCCGCGUGAGUGAUGAAGGUUUUCGGAUCGUAAAGCUCUGUUGUUAGGGAAGAACAAGUACCGUUCGAAUAGGGCGGUACCUUGACGGUACCUAACCAGAAAGCCACGGCUAACUACGUGCCAGCAGCCGCGGUAAUACGUAGGUGGCAAGCGUUGUCCGGAAUUAUUGGGCGUAAAGGGCUCGCAGGCGGUUCCUUAAGUCUGAUGUGAAAGCCCCCGGCUCAACCGGGGAGGGUCAUUGGAAACUGGGGAACUUGAGUGCAGAAGAGGAGAGUGGAAUUCCACGUGUAGCGGUGAAAUGCGUAGAGAUGUGGAGGAACACCAGUGGCGAAGGCGACUCUCUGGUCUGUAACUGACGCUGAGGAGCGAAAGCGUGGGGGAGCGAACAGGAUUAGAUACCCUGGUAGUCCACGCCGUAAACGAUGAGUGCUAAGUGUUAGGGGGUUUCCGCCCCUUAGUGCUGCAGCUAAC
This 818-nucleotide ribosomal RNA is filed under the name Bacillus sp. W1(2014). Its description in RNAcentral is "bacterial SSU rRNA". It matches the Rfam family "Bacterial small subunit ribosomal RNA", at positions 57 to 856 of the family's 1533-position model. The record is from RNAcentral. Lineage: Bacteria; Bacillati; Bacillota; Bacilli; Caryophanales; Bacillaceae.